AGUCGAGGGGCAGCAUGAUUGAAGCUUGCUUCAAUUGAUGGCGACCGGCGCACGGGUGAGUAACGCGUAUCCAACCUUCCGUACACUCAGGGAUAGCCUUUCGAAAGAAAGAUUAAUACCUGAUGGUAUGAUGAGAUUGCAUGAUAUCAUCAUUAAAGAUUCAUCGGUGUACGAUGGGGAUGCGUUCCAUUAGGUAGUAGGCGGGGUAACGGCCCACCUAGCCUACGAUGGAUAGGGGUUCUGAGAGGAAGGUCCCCCACAUUGGAACUGAGACACGGUCCAAACUCCUACGGGAGGCAGCAGUGAGGAAUAUUGGUCAAUGGACGAGAGUCUGAACCAGCCAAGUAGCGUGAAGGAUGAAGGUCCUACGGAUUGUAAACUUCUUUUAUAAGGGAAUAAAACCUCCCACGUGUGGGAGCUUGUAUGUACCUUAUGAAUAA
Molecule: ribosomal RNA, 440 nt
Filed under: uncultured bacterium
Lineage: Bacteria
Description: bacterial SSU rRNA
Rfam family: Bacterial small subunit ribosomal RNA
Source: RNAcentral